AACCAAUACUUUUCUUAGAGUCUCUCAUCAUAUUUCUGGCAUGUACAAAUUCUCUAUUAUUAUUGUUAUUGUUGUUGUUGUUAUUGCUAUUGUUGUUGUUGUUGGUAUUGUGGACGUCGUUGACGUUGUUGCCUAGUUAUUGUUGUUGUUAUUAUGGUUUUUGAGACUUAUACGGUUCAUUUUUGUUGGUUGUGUACUAUUUU
This 203-nucleotide long non-coding RNA is filed under the name Lathyrus oleraceus (garden pea). RNAcentral's name for it is "Pisum sativum (pea) long non-coding RNA (PSAT_LNC032994)". Lineage: Eukaryota; Viridiplantae; Streptophyta; Magnoliopsida; Fabales; Fabaceae. The record is from RNAcentral.